GACGAACGCUGGCGGCGUGCUUAACACAUGCAAGUCGAACGGGAGUAUUGAAGAAGCUUGCUUUAGAGAUACUUUAGUGGCGGACGGGUGAGUAACGCGUGAGGAGCUGUCCUAUGCAGGGGGACAACAGCUGGAAACGGCUGCUAAUACCCCAUAAGCCGAGAGGUAAAAGGAUCAAUCCGGCAGAGGAGGUACUCGCGUCCUAUCAGCUAGUAGGUGAGGUAACGGCUCACUUAGGCGAAGACGGGUAGCCGGCCUGAGAGGGCGAACGGCCACACUGGAACUGAGAUACGGUCCAGACUCCUACGGGAGGCAGCAGUGGGGAAUAUUGGGCAAUGGGGGAAACCCUGACCCAGCGACGCCGCGUGGGUGAAGAAAUCCUUCGGGAUGUAAAGCCCUGUUGUAUGGGAAGAGCGGAAGACGGUACCAUACGAGGAAGCCCCGGCAAACUACGUG
This 456-nucleotide ribosomal RNA is filed under the name uncultured bacterium. RNAcentral's name for it is "bacterial SSU rRNA". It matches the Rfam family "Bacterial small subunit ribosomal RNA", at positions 28 to 507 of the family's 1533-position model. The record is from RNAcentral.